This 106-nucleotide small nuclear RNA is filed under the name Plasmopara halstedii. The record is from RNAcentral. Lineage: Eukaryota; Oomycota; Peronosporomycetes; Peronosporales; Peronosporaceae.
AACCACUUCGGUGGUCAUCCGUAAAAAGUGGAAAGAUACAGAGAAGAUUAGCAUGGCCCCUUUGUCAAGGAUGACACGCAUAAAUCGAGAAGUAUCCGCGUCUCUC